Molecule: non-coding RNA, 2201 nt
Organism: Camellia sinensis
Lineage: Eukaryota; Viridiplantae; Streptophyta; Magnoliopsida; Ericales; Theaceae
Source: RefSeq, a predicted model, not a curated record
GUGCUCUGCCAGCCCUCUCCCACUUCACUCUCUCAUCUCAUCUCAUCAUCCCUCUCUCUCUCUUUCUCAGUCCUGUCUCUCAUCAUCCCUCUUCUCUCUCUCUUUCUCUCAGGCGACCCUCCUACCGGCCACCGCCCACCACUGUCGCACACGAGCACCCACCUCCUCGCCGACGACGGUACAACCCGCCUCCCCACCAGCGACGGUACCACCCAUCUCCCCACCAGAGACGGACAACAGUAGCUACUUUGAUUUGUCUCUCCUCCAGCGCACACCCGGUUAGGGUGAAUACUAUACUGGGAUCUUCAGCGCCAUCUCUAUCAGUAAAACUCAAGCAAGCUUUCAGUUAUGGUUCAAAGGAUGCUUCUAUAAUUGAGAGCCAGGCUAGAUUUAGUUGGAGAGACUGCUCUUUCGUUAUCAGCAAACCAUCUACUAAAGCUGCGUUUAUCAUUUCAAUUGACCACUCCACUUGGGCAUUCAUUUAAACCACUUCAGGGUUUUCUCAAGUUGAAACAUGAGACCAAAGUUGAGCACAUCUUUGUCUUGGGGAACUCUGGUGAAUUGUUUGAAAUAACACUAGUAAGUUCCUCUGAUCAAUCAAAUCUUAAAUUUCAUUUCCUCCUUGUUAGGAUCUACAGAAGUUGAUCAAUUUAGCAACUCACAGAUCUAUAGAACUUUGUAACAAGACUUCAGCAUGAGUUUAUUGAUAUGUUGCAAUGCAAUCUAGUCUGAUAUACUAACCUUAAAAGAAAAUUAAUUAUGAAUUCAACAAGUUAGUUACCUGUUAGUGAUGGUUAGAUGUAGUAGUUUCCUUAUAUAUGUGGCAUUUGGUCUUGUAGGAUUUUCUCAAACUGGUUGAGAAGUUUUUCUAUCUUUCUGGUAGAACUAUACAGAAAAUAUGAAUAAAAAGCUUUAUGGCAUAUUGUGCACACCAUUCUAUUCUAGAAAAUAAAUGAAAUUUGUUAAGAAAUAAGAAUAUUUUGUAAUGUACUUGGAUAUUAGGUUAAAUUAAAGGGAAUUGGAUACCUAGAGACAAACCUAUGUUACUUUCUUUAUUAAAAUUUAUUCAAACAAAGGCGUUAAGGAGGCGAAAAUGCAAAACAGACCCCGAACCACCGUACGGAUGUCACAACCAGCUUCCUCAUGAAAAAUAAGACCUAUGACAGUAGACGGAAUGUAAUUAGCACAUGUAGGUUGGGAGUUAGAGCCGAAAACGCUUUAAACUUAAUCGAAAAAGGGCAUUAAGGGGGAAAAAAUUCUAAGCAGUUCCCGAACCACCGUGUGACUCUCACGGACAGCUUCCCCAUGACAAAUAGGACUUGUGACAACUGACGGAACGUAAUUCGGACGCAUAGGUAGAGAGUUAAAGCCGAAUACGCCCUAAACUUAGGCGAAAAAUGGCAUUUCAGGGGUGAAAAUUCUAAACAGCCCCCGAACGACCAUGUGACUGUCACAGACAGUUUCCCCAUGACAAAUAGGACUUGUGACAACUGACGUAACGUAAUUCGGACCUAUAGGUAGAGAGUUAGAGCUGAAUAUGUCCUAAACUUAGUCGAAAAAGGGCAUUUCGGGGGCGAAAAUUCUAAACAACACCCAAACGACCGUGUGACUGUCACAGACAGCUUCCCCAUGACAAAUAGGACUUGUGACAACUGACGGAACGUAAUUCGGACCCAUAGGUAGAGAGUUCAAGCCGAGUACGUCCUAAACUUAGUCCAAAAAGGCCAUUUCGGGGGCGAAAAUUCUAAACAGCCCCCAAACGAUCGUAUGACUCUCACGGACAGCUUCCCUAUGACGAAUAAGACUUGUGACAAUUGACGGAACGUAAUUCGGACCCGUAAGUAGAGAGAAGCGAGCGGAAUAUGCCUUAAACUUACUCGAAAAAGAGCUUUUUGGGGGCAAAAAUUCAUAACAGCCCCGAAUGACUGUGUGGCUCACACAGAUAGCUUUGCCAUGACAAAUAGGACUUGUGAGAACUGAUGGAACGUAAUUCGAACCCCUAGGUUGGGAGUUAGAGCCGAAUACACCCUAAACUUAGUCGAAAAAGGGUGUUUCGGAAGGGAAAAUUCAAAACAACCUCCGAACGACUGUGUGGCUCACACGAAUAGCUUCGCCAUGACAAAUAGGACUUGUGAGAACUGACAGAACGUAAUUUGGACCCAUAGGUUGGAAGUUAGAGCCGAAUACGCCCUAAACUUAGU